AUAUGUGAGCCUGAGUAAUGUGAUAGUGAUCAGCUUCUAUUAUUCAGGACAUUUUAUGACCGAUAGUUAAAGCUUCGGUUAACUGUAUGUACACUGCCGACUUUUUUUUCUUUUUUUUUUUAACUAUGCUUAUUAGUUGUCAUUUGUUGUGCUAUGAUAUGAUUGCACUUCCCACAUGUGGUAUGAACCUACAUGUGUCUUUAUAUCUGUUCCCAUGACUGUUCUGUAUAUAUUUCACAUGCAUACUAGUAAUACCCAGUUGAGUUUAGCGUUACCUUGUAUAAUUACGGUUCUUUUCAAUUAUUUAAUUAGCGCUGUUCUCAGUAACCGCCAGUGGCAUAGUUCUAGCUUGCCUUGUCAGUCGGUUCCUCUGGGAACACGCCUUCCUUUUCAGGCAGGGGGAGGAUGUAGUAGGAGCCCACCAAAUCCAAACAUCAUGAUUGUCAUCUCUGACCGACCCAGACGGGUCACAGCCACGCCGUCAUACGCCCGAGAUCCCAUUCGGGCCUCUUGAAGCUCGAGUACCGCGACCACAGCAUCAUCGCCUAGACCGCUGGAUAAAAGCAUCCAUUUCACUAAUAAAGAACCAGGACCCUUUUCCAACUACAACGACGUCAGGAUCCAGCUCAAAUGGCAUUCAAGAAUUCUCAGGAGCAACGCCUACAUGUAUUGUAGCAGGUGGAGAAUCAGAUUCUGAAGGGUCCAUUAGUGUGGAAAUUGUAAAACCUUCUAAGAGGAACAAGAAGGAAACAAAUGCCAAGUCUGUUGCAAAAAAGAGAAAGGUCACUGUGGCAAAGAAUGUGCAGAUGGUCACUUUAUAGUUGAGAAGAUCUUGAAGGAUAGGAUGAAGAAUGGGGUCAGGGAGGGACUCAUCAGUUGGGAUGGCUAUGAUUCGACGCACAACACGUGGGAGCCUAUGAAGGAAUUACCAAAAGACAUUGUUACAGACUAUUAUCAGAAUAAGAAGAAACAUUAGAUAGUUGUAGUACAUGACAUACAAUGAUGUCCAGUCAUUUUCAGAUUUUGAGUGGCCAUGGACAUAAGGCCAAAUUUCAAUGAAAAAAACUACAUUGAAAUCUAAAUGCUGAAAUGGUGCAAAAAGAAAUUUCUGAAUAUGACAUGAACAUAAUCAGAGUUUGAACGACUACCACUGCUCUGUACAAAUCAUACAAAUAUCCAAUUCACAAUUAAAUCGACAAAAACUGGGUCAAGACUAGUAACU
Lineus longissimus is the source of this 1222-nucleotide long non-coding RNA. RefSeq lists it as uncharacterized. The transcript is spliced from 5 exons. The record is from RefSeq and is a predicted model, not a curated record. NCBI's taxonomy places the organism in Eukaryota, Metazoa, Nemertea, Pilidiophora, Heteronemertea, Lineidae.